Molecule: ribosomal RNA, 400 nt
Filed under: uncultured Enterobacter sp.
Lineage: Bacteria; Pseudomonadati; Pseudomonadota; Gammaproteobacteria; Enterobacterales; Enterobacteriaceae
Description: bacterial SSU rRNA
Rfam family: Bacterial small subunit ribosomal RNA
Source: RNAcentral
CUACUCUUGACAUCCAGAGAACUUAGCAGAGAUGCUUUGGUGCCUUCGGGAACUCUGAGACAGGUGCUGCAUGGCUGUCGUCAGCUCGUGUUGUGAAAUGUUGGGUUAAGUCCCGCAACGAGCGCAACCCUUAUCCUUUGUUGCCAGCGGUCCGGCCGGGAACUCAAAGGAGACUGCCAGUGAUAAACUGGAGGAAGGUGGGGAUGACGUCAAGUCAUCAUGGCCCUUACGAGUAGGGCUACACACGUGCUACAAUGGCGCAUACAAAGAGAAGCGACCUCGCGAGAGCAAGCGGACCUCAUAAAGUGCGUCGUAGUCCGGAUUGGAGUCUGCAACUCGACUCCAUGAAGUCGGAAUCGCUAGUAAUCGUAGAUCAGAAUGCUACGGUGAAUACGUUCCC